AUGGGGAAAAGAGAGACUUACAGAGACAGGGUAGUCGGCAAAACACGGCUCAAGUCAGGAUGCCUCCAGCAGGUGAAUGCAGCUGGGGAAGUGCAUACAGGACAUAACUAUGGAGGAUCCUCUUGCACCCCUCCUGGGAAACCUGCAUGCUCGAUCACCUCUCUGAAAUGCCUGUACACCAAUGCACGCAGCAUGGGGAACAAACAGGAAGAACUAGAGAUGUGUGUGCAGUUGCAGGAGCAGGAUCUCAUUGCCAUUCCAGAGACAUGGUGGGAUAGCUCGCAUGACUGGAGUGAUGUCAUGGACGGCUACAUGCUUUUUAGGAAAGACAGGCCAGGUAAUCGAGGUGGUGGAGUUGCUCUUUAUGUGAGAGAGCACCUGGAAUGUAUUGAGCUGUGCCUAGGGGAGGAUGAAGAGCGAGUCGAGAGCCUAUGGGUAAGGAUUAAAGGGCAGGCUAGCAUGGGUGACACUGUUGUGGGUGUUUGCUACAGGCCACCUGAUCAGGAAGAGGAAGUCGAUGAGGCCUUCUACAGACAGCUGGAAGUAGCCUCACAAUCCCAGGCCCUGGGCAUUGGUGACAACUUCUUGACACAGGUGGUGGAGGAGCCAACAAGGAGAGGUGUGCUGCUGGACCUCAUACUAACAAACAAAGAAGAACUAGUUGAAGAUGUGAAGGUUGGGGGCAGCCUUGGCUGCAGUGACCAUGAGAUGGUGGAGUUCAGGAUCCUGCGAGGAGGAGGCAGGGCACUAAGUAGGAUCACAACCCUGGACUUCAGGAGAGCAAACUUUGGCCUCUUCAGGGACCUACUUGGAGGAAUCCCAUGGGUGAGGGCCCUAGAAGGAAGGGGCGUUCAAGAGAGCUGGUUAAUAUUCAAGCAUCACCUCCUCCAGGCUCAAGAUCGGUGCAUCCCUUUGAGUAGGAAGUCAAGCAAAGGAGGUAGGAGACCUGCAUGGAUGAGCAAGGAGCUCCUGGCAAAAUUCAAAGAGAAGGAGGAAGUGCACAGAAGAUGGAAUCAGGGACAGGCCACUUGGGAGGAAUAUAGGAACGUUGUCAGAGUAUGCAGGGAUGUGACGAGGAAGGCUAAGGCCCAUUUGGAAUUAAAUCUGGCAAGAGAUGUCAAGGACAGCAAGAAGGGCUUCUUCAAAUACAUCAGUAGCAAGAGGAAGACUAGGGAAAACGUGGGCCCUUUGCUGAAUGGGGUGGGUGCCCUGGUGACAAAGGAUGCAGAGAAGGCAGAGUUACUGAAUGCCUUCUUUGCUUCAGUCUUUACUGGACAGGCCAGCCCUCAGGACCCCCAGACCCUGGAGUCAAGAGAGAAAGUCUGGAGAAAGGAAGACUUUCCCUUGGUGGAGGAGGAUUGGGUUAGAGAUCAUUUAAGCAAACUUGACACCCACAAAUCCAUGGGCCCCAAUGGGACGCACCCACGAGUGCUGAGGGAGCUGGCGGACAUUAUUGCUAAGCCACUCUCCAUCAUCUUUGAAAGGUCAUGGAGAAGAGGAGAGGUGCCUGAGGACUGGAAGAAAGCCAAUGUCACCGCAGUCUUCAAAAAGGGCAAGAAGGAGGACCCAGGGAACUACAGGCCAGUCAGCCUCACCUGCAUCCCUGGAAAGGUGAUGGAGCAGCUCAUCCUGGAGGCCAUCUCCAAGCAUGUGGAGGACAAGAAGGUGAUCAGGAGUAGUCAGCAUGGCUUCACCAAGGGGAAAUCAUGUUUAAACAGCCUUUUAUAA
Molecule: long non-coding RNA, 1728 nt
Filed under: Apteryx haastii (Great spotted kiwi)
Lineage: Eukaryota; Metazoa; Chordata; Aves; Apterygiformes; Apterygidae
Description: lncRNA (ENSAHAG00000005865.1)
Source: RNAcentral